This 365-nucleotide ribosomal RNA is filed under the name uncultured bacterium. RNAcentral's name for it is "bacterial SSU rRNA". It matches the Rfam family "Bacterial small subunit ribosomal RNA", at positions 28 to 403 of the family's 1533-position model. The record is from RNAcentral.
GACGAACGCUGGCGGCGUGCUUAACACAUGCAAGUCAAGGGGGCCCAGCAAUGGGCAACCGGCGAACGGGUGCGUAACACGUGAGCAACCUACCGAACUGUGGGGGAUAGCCGGCCUAACGGCCGAGUAAUACCGCAUACGCUCUCAGUGAGGCAUUUCAUUGAGAGGAAACCUACGGGACAGAUCGAGGGGCUCGCGGCCUAUCAGCUAGUUGGCGAGGUAACGGCNCACCAAGGCAACGACGGGUAGCUGGUCUGAGAGGACGAUCAGCCACACUGGCACUGCGACACGGGCCAGACUCCUACGGGAGCAGCAGUAAGGAAUAUUGCGCAAUGGGCGAAAGCCUGACGCAGCGACGCCGCGGU